Lagopus muta (rock ptarmigan) is the source of this 2208-nucleotide long non-coding RNA. RefSeq lists it as uncharacterized. The transcript has 3 exons. The record is from RefSeq and is a predicted model, not a curated record. NCBI's taxonomy places the organism in Eukaryota, Metazoa, Chordata, Aves, Galliformes, Phasianidae.
AUUUCUUCUGGAGAUCUACUAUGGUGAAGUUUUGUAAGUGAGCCCAGGAUAUGGUAUUCCACAUCUUAACAUCAUGUAGUGCACUGGGAGUUUAACUGUUAAUACUCAAGUUCUGGGUACCUGUCCUUCUGGAAGAAGAAGAACUACAUUCCCCAGGGGGCUUUGCAGUCAGAGAGGAGUUACAACUCCUGGCAAGGUCACCUGAUGUGACCUUCUUCAUCAGCUCUUCUUCGUCAGCUCUUCUCCUGUCUCCCUGCUGCUCAACUGGACUGCGCAUCUCACCUCAGUAUUAUGGAAAGAAGACAUAAGACAAGAAUGAAGCAGUAAGACAAACCCUGGAAGAAAGUUCCACUGUAGGUUUCUCUUUUCAACCUCAAGUUCAAGAUAUUUGCAUAACACUGACUCUCAGAAAUUUGGAAGGUGCUGAUAGGAAAUAUCUUUACUCUCUCUCCUGUAACCUUUUUCUUGACGUCUACCACUGAGCAAUGUUAGAAACAAAGCAGAGCUCUAAAUGGGCUUUUGGUUUGAUGUAAGAAAGCUAUCAUAUAUAAUUUUGCUAACUUAGGUAUUGAAAUAUUACUUUACAUUCCAAAUAUUUAGACAAAAAAGCAAAUAAUUUCACUAUUUUCAUUGUUGUUUUUAACCUAUGAGGACGGUCCAAAUGGCAUUUCUCAGUAAAGGCAUUAUGUAUUUAGAAUAUUUCAAUAAUAUGAAGUAAUGUAUUGGAGGGUCAUAUUUUCUGCCUCUUUUUUAUUUUGGGAAAGUGCCACAAAAUUCUGAGGUGGAUGAUUUGUCUUCACAGGGGUUGCUUCACUCGAAGAUUAUAUUUAGUUACUUGAAUAUGUUUUUCAUAGCAAAUAGUGCAUUUAUAUACAUAUGCCAUUUAUUAACUACUGAAGCAUUCAAUCAUCUUAUCAAAUGUCAAGUUGUUAUUUCUUUGAAGUUUAAGAGUUAAAAUUUAUCUGAAUCCAGAUAGUGUACUGGGUGAUACUUGGAUAUGUGCCUUAUGGUUCUAAGUCUUGCUCAAUACAUACUUGAUUAAUUUCAUGAACUUAUUUUUAUGUUUUUAAAAUGUUUAAUUUCAUUUAUAAUCUCCUCAUUUAUUUAUCAUUUCCUUUAAUAGCAUUUUCCUCAUCUCUCACUUCAAAGCUUCAUAAGAGAAGAGUUUUAAUAAAUUAAACAGACAGUUAAGAAUUUGACCACAUGAUGAUUGCUUUACUUGAAAUGCAGCAUAACAGUCUCUGAACUCAUUCUUGCUGAGCAUGACACUUGAAACUUCACCAUGAAAGCUACACUAUGAAAUUUUUAUUUACUUUCAUGUACUUUGCAGGUACAUUGAUCUUGUCAGGAUAAAAAUAAACAAUCAGGAAGCAAAUGGCAAUUCUUAUUUACUAUUUUUGUCCUCACAAAUCAAUGACUGGAAUGUUAAUGUCCAUGCAUUUUAGAGAGUUAUCUGGCAAUAUUUGAGUUGAUGCUGCAUAAUCCUAUGCCAUUUGCUGUUUUCCUGUCAUUUGUUUAAUGCUAAACUACCAGGAAAUUUAAAAUCUUGCUCAAGGUUAAAAGCCUGCAGAGUUACUGAAUGUAAAAGGAAAGUUCAGCAGGAUUUUGUGGUCUCCUAUUGAACUGUUUGUCAACGCUGAUGUACUUUAAAUGGUACAGUAGGGGCUAAUAAUGGGAAAGCACACACAUUUACAUUAAUUAUCAUAAUUUUCACCCUAAAUAAUAUUAAGAGAACUUUAUCUGUUCUCAAUUUUCUUUAAUUGUCAAGGACAACAACAUAUAGAUUAUCCAUGACUGAAAACCUGCCUAACAACUCCAUGAAUAAUAAGCACUAGUCUAUGAAUAAUGGCUAAAUUCCAGAUUGUUGCACCAAGUCAAGAGGCUCUGUUAAAUACCACUUCUACUGAUAAGCUGUAAGUAAAAAAAAAAAAAACAUGAGAUCAGAAAGUUUACCAUUUCACAGGAUGCUAUUACCCUCUUUACUCUUUGCUGAUGAUGCUGCCUUUAGAAAGAUUUGUGUCCAGCUUGGGUGCCAUAGUUCAAGAAAAAAUAAAGCAGGUUUAACUUGCUGGGUGUGAUCAUUUUCUCAGUGUCUUUGAAUGAACCACAGUCCUAAACAGAAUAUAUUAAUGAAUUAAAUUAUGUCAGUUAUGUGUGAAACAGAUGAUAUUAUGUAUAGAAAUUGUGCUGAUCGAGACUGAAUUUUUG